CCUACGGGAUGCAGCAGUAGGGAAUAUUGCUCAAUGGGGGAAACCCUGAAGCAGCAACGCCGCGUGGAGGAUGAAGGUUUUCGGGUUGUAAACUCCUUUUGUUAGAGACGAUAAUGACGGUAUCUAACGAAUAAGCACCGGCUAACUCCGUGCCAGCAGCCGCGGUAAUACGGAGGGUGCAAGCGUUACUCUGAAUCACUGGGCGUAAAGAGCGCGUAGGCGGGAUAGCAAGUCAGAUGUGAAAUCCUCGGGCUUAACCAUAGAACUGCAUUUGAAACUGUUAUUCUAGAGGAUGGGAGAGGCAGGUGGAAUUCUUGGUGUAGGGGUAAAAUCCGUAGAGAUCAAGAGGAAUACUCAUUGCGAAGGCGACCUGCUAGAACAUAACUGACGCUGAUGCGCGAAAGCGUGGGGAGCAAACAGGAUUAGAUACCCGGGUAGUC
RNAcentral lists this ribosomal RNA (440 nucleotides) under uncultured bacterium. RNAcentral describes it as "partial 16S ribosomal RNA". It matches the Rfam family "Bacterial small subunit ribosomal RNA", at positions 338 to 795 of the family's 1533-position model. The record is from RNAcentral.